UCUCCAUCCGUCUCUCCCCUCUCUUUUCUUCCCCGGCCACGCUCACGCCACCGCCGCUGCUGUGCGUGCGGCGGAUCGCCGUCGCGGCCUCCGGCUCUCUCUCGGGACCCUCCGCCAUCACCGAUCACCGCUGCUACGCACCGCCUCAGCCGCCGCUGCUGCUGUGCAUGCACAGUGAGAGGCUUCGCCGUUUCUUCUCCGCGCCUCGCGCUGACGCUUCCCCCUUCUCUCCCUAGUUCUCUUUCUCUCUCAGAAGCGGCGCUGCCCUGGUCCCUCGGAGUUCACCGACUCGCCGCCAGGACCGGCGAUUUCUCGCCUCUGUCCUGCCCGCGUCGCAGUCGACUCUCCUCUCAGUCGAACGCCGUCCGUUGCUCGCAAGUGUCAUUGCUGCCCCGUGAAGUUUGUGCUACUGCCCUCGUGGCCUCGCCAUCGUCGGUAGUCUUUGGACAGCCCUUCCGGCCCUAAAGCUAAGUUCUUAACCCCUUCCUUACUUAGUGUAGUUAUUUGAUUUGGCACAGUAGCUAUGUGAUUACUGAUUUUGAUUUGUUUGGGAACUUGAUUGAUGAGAAAGCGAUGAUGUUCUUGACAAUUGUUUUAGAAUCUAUGAUGAAGCAUUGUUUACAUAAAACGAAAUUGGUGUUGUUAGAUUCUUUGCAAUAUGAUAUUGAAACAUAAGAUUUGUUUGGGGUAGCAAAAAGAAUAUCAAGAAUCUAUGUUAAAGUUCCCUAUUUCCUUUUGUACAUGCUUGGCUAAUGACAUGGAUUGUUAUGGAAAGAAUUUGGAUUUGAUAGUGUUACCUGUGGAGGGCUGUGAAGGAGAAUGAACUCUUCUUGUUGCUAUUAACUCUCAAUUCUUGUUAAAUUUGUUGGGUUUUUCGAAGAGUGUGUGUGGAAGGGGAAGAUCUUGCUGCCUGUGAAGGGUGUUUUAUAGGCAAGCUUGGAGUACUUUAGGGAAUUGAAUGACUGAUACUUUUGCAGGUGUACAAAUCGUAACAUAUCUUCCUUUUUCUGAUUUCCUAGCUCCUUUCUCUUAAAGUAAAAUGAUGUUUAGUUGGGUACCUAGUACUUGGCCAGUAAACAUUUUGUUUGUUCUUGCAUAGUGUACCAAAAGAGGGUGCAGGGCUGAUCUUGAAGGAGGGGCGUUUGUAGGGGAAACUGCAAGUCUUCGGCUGCCACCGUGCUGACUCGGGCCCGACGGGCCAUCGGGAACGGGCCGCGAUUCGGGCCUAAAGAAAAGACCCGAAGUGCUCGUUUGGAAGCUUACAUUCCGUUUUCCUUUCUUCGUGUAAUUCCUUUGAAAUUAGUUGGUAGUUUAUUGUGUGUGUAAAGAUAUUCGAACUCCUUUGGUCCAAAAACUUUUUGUGCUCCCUUCUAUAACUUAUUAUCGAAGUCGUUUUAGUUCGUUCGAUUA
Salvia splendens (bonfire salvia) is the source of this 1410-nucleotide long non-coding RNA. RefSeq lists it as uncharacterized. The transcript has 2 exons. The record is from RefSeq and is a predicted model, not a curated record. NCBI's taxonomy places the organism in Eukaryota, Viridiplantae, Streptophyta, Magnoliopsida, Lamiales, Lamiaceae.